RNAcentral lists this non-coding RNA (21 nucleotides) under Caenorhabditis elegans. The record is from RNAcentral. Lineage: Eukaryota; Metazoa; Nematoda; Chromadorea; Rhabditida; Rhabditidae.
UAAAUACCUUCACAAUUUCUA